GGCCCUAUAGUGUAGUGGUUAUCACUUCAGAUUGUAGGUCUACCUUAUUUAUUAUCCUACUCUUCCAGUACUUGGUACUAAUUAUCUUCCAGUUGAUCUCAGUAUUGAUAUUCUGAUAACCCCGGUUCGAACCCGGGUAGGACCU
RNAcentral lists this transfer RNA (145 nucleotides) under Aspergillus nomiae NRRL 13137. RNAcentral's name for it is "Aspergillus nomius NRRL 13137 tRNA". It matches the Rfam family "tRNA". Rfam says of the family: Transfer RNA (tRNA) molecules are approximately 80 nucleotides in length. Their secondary structure includes four short double-helical elements and three loops (D, anti-codon, and T loops). The record is from Rfam by way of RNAcentral. Lineage: Eukaryota; Fungi; Ascomycota; Eurotiomycetes; Eurotiales; Aspergillaceae.